Molecule: long non-coding RNA, 681 nt
Organism: Helianthus annuus (common sunflower)
Lineage: Eukaryota; Viridiplantae; Streptophyta; Magnoliopsida; Asterales; Asteraceae
Exons: 3
Source: RefSeq, a predicted model, not a curated record
CUCUUUUGAAAGAUAAAUCUUUCUUCUUUGGCAAGAAUCUGGAAUUAUUUUAAUUUCUUCUUCAUAUCGAAAUCUUCUGCCCUAAUUCUGUCUGCCGUCCUUCAGCCUUACGAAAUCUUCAUCACAAAGGUAAUGGGGAUUUCCGUGUCAUCAGUAUGUAUCUGUGGUAGAAGAAAAAAGAGUUUCAGGUAUGAGAACCAACUUAAGAGUUAUUAGUUAUUAAUUAUUAUAAAGGAAGAUAUGUUCUUGCUUAUAAAGGUGAAGUUAGAAUUGAUGACAACGUUAUCGGAGAAAGGUCUGGUGGCAAGAAGAAAGACUUUCAGGCGUAGAGCGGAAACUGCUGGAGAGGUGGAGGCUUGCAAGCGAUGUAACUGUAAGAAAUCCAAGUUUUUGAGGUUGUAUGUAACUUUGUUGAAGAAGCAACCAGUGAGAGUGUUUUGGUGGAAAACUUGGAGGGGUCGGUGGCGUUGUCGAGGUUGUCAGGAAAUGCAAAGUGAUAGCAUUUCCUGACAACCCUCGACAAUGUCACCGACCUCCUAAUCUGAGCGUGACCCUCUGAAAACAUAAAUGUUUUUCAACUUCACCAUGAAUAGAGAAGAAAGAGACAGUUGGGUUUCUAGCUCCAGUUGUGUUGCAGCCGAAUCAACAGCAAAUUCAACAGCAGUAGUUGUUGAUGCAUGA